UACGUAGGUGGCAAGCGUUAUCCGGAAUUACUGGGCGUAAAGCGCACGCAGGCGGCUAGUCAAGUUCGACGUGAAAGCUCCCGGCUUAACUGGGAGAGGUCGUUGAAAACUGGUUAGCUUGAGGCAAUGAGAGGGGUGUAGAAUUCCCGGUGUAGUGGUGGAAUGCGUAGAUAUCGGGAGGAAUACCAGUGGCGAAAGCGGCACCCUAGCAUUAGCCUGACGCUCAGGUGCGAAAGCGUGGGGAGCGAAC
Molecule: ribosomal RNA, 250 nt
Filed under: uncultured bacterium
Lineage: Bacteria
Description: partial 16S ribosomal RNA
Rfam family: Bacterial small subunit ribosomal RNA
Source: RNAcentral